RNAcentral lists this ribosomal RNA (497 nucleotides) under uncultured bacterium. RNAcentral describes it as "partial 16S ribosomal RNA". It matches the Rfam family "Bacterial small subunit ribosomal RNA", at positions 28 to 507 of the family's 1533-position model. The record is from RNAcentral.
GAUGAACGCUGGCGGUGUGCCUAAUACAUGCAAGUCGAGCGAACAGACGAGGAGCUUACUCCUCUGACGUUAGCGGCGGACGGGUGAGUAACACGUGGAUCACCUACCUAUCAGACUGGUAUAAUUUCGGGACACCGGCUCUAAUACCGUAUAACAUGUUGAACCGCAUGGUUCAACAGUGAAAUACGGUCUUUCUGUCACUUAUAGCUGGAUCCGCGUCGCAUUAGAUAGUUGUUAAGGUAACGGCUUACCACGGCAACGAUGCGUAGCCGACCUGAGGGGGGGAUAGGCCGCACGGGAAGGGAGACACGGACAAGAGGACUAAGGGAGGCAGCAGUAGCGAAUCGGACGCAAUGGGAGAAAGAAUGACGGAGCAGGGCCAAGUGAGUGAAGAAGGUCUUCGGAGCGGAAAAACGUGUUAUGAGGGAAAAACAAAUGUGUAAGGAACUAUGCACGUCUUGACGGUACCUAAUCAGAAAGCCACGGCUAACUACGUG